RNAcentral lists this ribosomal RNA (472 nucleotides) under uncultured bacterium. Its description in RNAcentral is "bacterial SSU rRNA". It matches the Rfam family "Bacterial small subunit ribosomal RNA", at positions 355 to 825 of the family's 1533-position model. The record is from RNAcentral.
UGGGGAAUUUUGGACAAUGGGCGCAAGCCUGAUCCAGCCAUGCCGCGUGCGGGAAGAAGGCCUUCGGGUUGUAAACCGCUUUUGUCAGGGAAGAAACGCUCUGGGCUAAUACCCCGGGGUAAUGACGGUACCUGAAGAAUAAGCACCGGCUAACUACGUGCCAGCAGCCGCGGUAAUACGUAGGGUGCAAGCGUUAAUCGGAAUUACUGGGCGUAAAGCGUGCGCAGGCGGUUAUGCAAGACAGAUGUGAAAUCCCCGGGCUCAACCUGGGAACUGCAUUUGUGACUGUAUAGCUAGAGUACGGUAGAGGGGGAUGGAAUUCCGCGUGUAGCAGUGAAAUGCGUAGAUAUGCGGAGGAACACCGAUGGCGAAGGCAAUCCCCUGGACCUGUACUGACGCUCAUGCACGAAAGCGUGGGGAGCAAACAGGAUUAGAUACCCCGGUAGUCCCUGAGCGGGCUGGCAAGGCGCAU